UCCCUGUUAGCUUAGAUGGUAAAGAACCUGCCUGCAAUGCAGAAGACCUGGGUUUGAUCCCUGGAGAAGGGA
This 72-nucleotide transfer RNA is filed under the name Bos taurus (domestic cattle). It matches the Rfam family "tRNA". Rfam says of the family: Transfer RNA (tRNA) molecules are approximately 80 nucleotides in length. The record is from Rfam by way of RNAcentral. RNAcentral also lists the same sequence under 5 other names. Lineage: Eukaryota; Metazoa; Chordata; Mammalia; Artiodactyla; Bovidae.